AUUGCCCACUGGGAACUAUAAAUUAUAGUUCUCACGCCCUGUUAUUUUAUGUUUAAUUUCAGAGUCUUCCACUCCGGGCGAGGCUAGGGACCGCGGAAAGGGUAUCGCCUAGAGCUAGCUUGCUAUCGAGGACGCGUUGAUAAGUGGUCUACAUCUCGUUGUUUUAUUUUGGAGAGGUUUUGGAGAAUCACCUGUGUAUAGAGACCACCCCACUGUGGAUUUCUUUGAGAUUCUUAUUGUACCUUUUUAUGCUUAUGCUUAGUGGACUACUUUACUCCUUCUCUACUUGUUGCUAGUUUUUAGUUGUUAGCAGCUCUGAUAUCUCUAGAUACUUGUUUCUUCUUGCUUUCGCAUCUCUUUUGUUGUAGACGCCUUGUAUGCGCA
This 384-nucleotide long non-coding RNA is filed under the name Ananas comosus (pineapple). RNAcentral's name for it is "long non-coding RNA (ACOM_LNC040721)". The record is from RNAcentral. Lineage: Eukaryota; Viridiplantae; Streptophyta; Magnoliopsida; Poales; Bromeliaceae.